Molecule: long non-coding RNA, 204 nt
Filed under: Carica papaya (papaya)
Lineage: Eukaryota; Viridiplantae; Streptophyta; Magnoliopsida; Brassicales; Caricaceae
Description: long non-coding RNA (CPAP_LNC008006)
Source: RNAcentral
UUUUCUACCGUUGUGAUCAACGUUUUCUUCUCUACAAGUUGACUGAAGCAAAAUACCCAACCGCAACGUGAGCCAGAGGAGCCGUAGCACCGGAGAGCCUUGCCGCUAGUGAGUUUCAGUUUUUUGUUUUUUUCGACCAACUAAGGCCCUUUAACGUGUUUUUCGCAGGGAUUGAUUCAAAAUCGACUAAAUUCGGCUGAAAAU